GGUGUUGGAAGAGUUUGCAAUAUUUAUUACCUCUACCACUUGACUGCAAGUUGCAAAUAAUUAGUAAGAUCACAAGUCUCUGUUUAAAUGUAUCAUUUAUAUUGAAUAGUUGAAUCAGUCCCUUACUCUAGUGACUUUGAUAAUAACAUAAAGUAAAAUAAAAUAUCUAUAAAACUUGUGUUAAACAUCUUGAUUCAUCAGUUUAUCCUUAAUAGCAUAGUCCGGAUUGGAUUCAUCUUUAACAACACCAAUUCUAAUGCAUUCAUGUAAUAGUAAUUGUGUUUCUUUAUCUGAGCCAAUAAACAAACUUAUUAUAAUCUCCUCUCGGGGAAUUUGGGAAUACAUAUAUACAACAUAUGUCUAAUGAUCCUUAUCUAUGUACUAGAAUCUAAUGGAGCAUAAAAGGUUCGAUGAUGCUGAUAAAUAUUCUGGUACGUUGUUUUUAAAGAGCAUCAUAGUAACCUCCAACUGUUUUGUGUGCUCACUGCUGCAAUUGCUCCAUUCAAUUUUGUUGCAUGGUCGACUACUUGCUUUAUCCUCUGCAAUCCCACGUAAAAUUUAAUUAAGAAAAAAAGAUUCUUAGAUAAGAUCCACCAAAAAUUAGUUUUUGAUUUAAAAGUUAACGCUGCUAAAAAGAAAAAAGUAUAAUUUGAUGCACUAAAUUUUUGUUUUGCGGAUUCUAUUCAAUCACAACUGGUCUUAUCUUGCAUUUUAACAAGAGGUCCAUGAUACACAUUUAGUUACUUAAAUGGAGUAUGUCUCAAGAUUUGAUUCUUUUUCAUUGGUCAAACAUAUUAAAAUAUUUUAUUACUUUUUUGGGGCCAUAAAAUCUGAUGAAAUAUUCCUGCAAUUCAACAUAAUAUUGGAGGAGAUAAUAGUCCUGUUCCAAAAGACAAUCUUAGCAAAAAAUUUAAUUAUUAAAGACGCGUCUUUUAUUAAUUAAUUAUAACAUGUCACUGAAUUUUGAAGAUCAAACCUUGUCAUCCGAAAAGAUUUGAAACCGAAGCUUGUGCUGAUUUUGCUUAUUGUUUUGAUGAUUGCCCAUAAAAAUGAUGCAAAUAGUAGCAGCAGCGGCAACCCCAAAAGAGCAAAUAGCACCAAUUCCAUUCAAACUCUUGUUCAACAGGUUCAAUCCACCACGGUUUUCUUCAAUAUUCUCUGCUUCAAUUCCAAUUUUCUCUUCAUCCACCUCCAGCACUUGUGCUUGUUCCUCAAACUGGAAAGUGUCUGCAUCAGCUUGGGACAAAAGGGUCUUGUUAUUGGACUUUGGUGAGUCCAUUUUCAUGUCGUCGAAUUCACUUUCCUUCAUUUUCUUGAAGAAAACUUGUGUGACUUGAUCUUCAUCUUGCUCAGCUUCCAUCAUACAAUUCUCACAAAUGUUUUUCGAGUUGUCCUCAUGAUGAUCAUUUGCGGUUUCUUGAAUACUUGGCUCCAGCUGAAUUGGAAAAGGUACUAUUUGAGGAUGUUUUGUUGAGUCAACAAAUUGUGAUGAUUCUGGACAAGGGAAAACGAAAUAUUUCAUGUCGAAAUCAUCCUUGGAGAAGUUCAUCUUGCCUCUAUCAUCGUGUAUUUGGAGGAAUCCAUCAUCAGGAAGAAGCUCCCAAUCUUCAAGAUCCAUUUAUUUCAUCUAAUGAACAUAAGGGAUAGAAGAGUGGGUUCAUAUAGCUAGCUCUGGGAUUCUGAUUCUUUGGUUGUCGAAUUAUUGGAGUAAGAGAGGGUAGCUUUCAUAUAUGCAGCCAUUUGGUACAUGUCUUCUUGCUCUAUGGGAAGUGAACAACUUGGCUUCAAUGAGAUUGUGAUGGAUUUUCUUUUUACUUGUCUAAUUAUUCGAUAUCUCAACUUACUGCAC
Molecule: long non-coding RNA, 1849 nt
Filed under: Nicotiana benthamiana
Lineage: Eukaryota; Viridiplantae; Streptophyta; Magnoliopsida; Solanales; Solanaceae
Description: long non-coding RNA (NBEN_LNC034906)
Source: RNAcentral